RNAcentral lists this ribosomal RNA (254 nucleotides) under uncultured bacterium. RNAcentral's name for it is "partial 16S ribosomal RNA". It matches the Rfam family "Bacterial small subunit ribosomal RNA", at positions 524 to 776 of the family's 1533-position model. The record is from RNAcentral.
UACGGGGGGGGCAAGCGUUGUUCGGAAUUACUGGGCGUAAAGGGCUCGUAGGCGGCCAACUAAGUCAGACGUGAAAUCCCUCGGCUUAACCGGGGAACUGCGUCUGAUACUGGAUGGCUAGAGGUUGGGAGAGGGAUGCGGAAUUCCAGGUGUAGCGGUGAAAUGCGUAGAUAUCUGGAGGAACACCGGUGGCGAAGGCGGCAUCCUGGACCAAUUCUGACGCUGAGUGAGCGAAAGCCAGGGGAGCAAACAGG